AUUGAACGCUGGCGGCAUGCUUUACACGUGCAAGUCGAACGGUAACAGGGAGCUUGCUCCGCUGACGAGUGGCGAACGGGUGAGUAAUGCGUCGGAACGUGCCGAGUAGUGGGGGAUAACGCAGCGAAAGUUGUGCUAAUACCGCAUACGUACUGAGGUAGAAAGUGGGGGACCUUCGGGCCUCACGCUAUUCGAGCGGCCGACGUCUGAUUAGCUAGUAGGUGAGGUAAAGGCUCACCUAGGCGACGAUCAGUAGCGGGUCUGAGAGGAUGAGCCGCCACACGGGGACUGAGACACGGCCCAGACUCCUACGGGAGGCAGCAGUGGGGAAUUUUGGACAAUGGGCGAAAGCCUGAUCCAGCCAUGCCGCGUGUCUGAAGAAGGCCUUCGGGUUGUAAAGGACUUUUGUCGGGGAGGAAAUCCCCAGCGCUAAUACCGCUGGGGGAUGACAGUACCUGAAGAAUAAGCACCGGCUAACUACGUGCCAGCAGCCGCCGUAA
Molecule: ribosomal RNA, 500 nt
Filed under: uncultured bacterium
Lineage: Bacteria
Description: partial 16S ribosomal RNA
Rfam family: Bacterial small subunit ribosomal RNA
Source: RNAcentral